Molecule: ribosomal RNA, 397 nt
Filed under: uncultured Paracoccus sp.
Lineage: Bacteria; Pseudomonadati; Pseudomonadota; Alphaproteobacteria; Rhodobacterales; Paracoccaceae
Description: bacterial SSU rRNA
Rfam family: Bacterial small subunit ribosomal RNA
Source: RNAcentral
GAAUAACCACGGGAAACUGUGGCUAAUACCGAAUAUGUUGAGAGAUGAAAGAUUUAUCGCUCUAGGAUUAGCCCGCGUUGGAUUAGCUAGUUGGUGGGGUAAUGGCCUACCAAGGCGACGAUCCAUAGCUGGUUUGAGAGGAUGAUCAGCCACACUGGGACUGAGACACGGCCCAGACUCCUACGGGAGGCAGCAGUAAGGAAUAUUGGACAAUGGGCGCAAGCCUGAUCCAGCCAUGCCGCGUGAGUGAUGAAGGCCUUCGGGUUGUAAAGCUCUUUUGGCGGGGAAGAUAAUGACUGUACCCGCAGAAUAAGCUCCGGCUAACUUCGUGCCAGCAGCCGCGGUAAUACGAAGGGGGCGAGCGUUGUUCGGAAUUACUGGGCGUAAAGCGUGCGUA